This 463-nucleotide ribosomal RNA is filed under the name Vreelandella stevensii. RNAcentral describes it as "partial 16S ribosomal RNA". It matches the Rfam family "Bacterial small subunit ribosomal RNA", at positions 338 to 795 of the family's 1533-position model. The record is from RNAcentral. Lineage: Bacteria; Pseudomonadati; Pseudomonadota; Gammaproteobacteria; Oceanospirillales; Halomonadaceae.
CCUAGGGGGGCUGCAGUGGGGAAUAUUGGACAAUGGGCGAAAGCCUGAUCCAGCCAUGCCGCGUGUGUGAAGAAGGCCUUCGGGUUGUAAAGCACUUUCAGUGGGGAAGAAAGCCUUGGGGCUAAUACCCUCGAGGAAGGACAUCACCCACAGAAGAAGCACCGGCUAACUCCGUGCCAGCAGCCGCGGUAAUACGGAGGGUGCGAGCGUUAAUCGGAAUUACUGGGCGUAAAGCGCGCGUAGGCGGUCUGAUAAGCCGGUUGUGAAAGCCCCGGGCUCAACCUGGGAACGGCAUCCGGAACUGUCAGGCUAGAGUGCAGGAGAGGAAGGUAGAAUUCCCGGUGUAGCGGUGAAAUGCGUAGAGAUCGGGAGGAAUACCAGUGGCGAAGGCGGCCUUCUGGACUGACACUGACGCUGAGGUGCGAAAGCGUGGGUAGCAAACAGGAUUAGAUACCUUGUAGUC